CGUCCGAUUAGCUUGUUGGUGGGGUAAUGGCUCACCAAGGCUUCGAUCGGUAGCUGGUCUUAGCGGACGAUCAGCCACAUUGGGACUGAGACACGGCCCAAACUCCUACGGGAGGCAGCAGUGGGGAAUAUUGGACAAUGGGCGGAAGCCUGAUCCAGCAAUGCCGCGUGUGUGAAGAAGGCCUGCGGGUUGUAAAGCACUUUCAGCUGGGAGGAAAAGCGUUGGGUUAAUACCCCAGCGUCUUGACGUUACCUGCAGAAGAAGCACCGGCUAACUCCGUGCCAGCAGCCGCGGUAAUACGGAGGGUGCAAGCGUUAAUCGGAAUUACUGGGCGUAAAGCGCGCGUAGGCGGUUCGGUAAGUCGGGUGUGAAAGCCCCGGGCUCAACCUGGGGAUUGCAUUCGAUACUGCUGGGCUAGAGUCUGGUAGAGGGUGGCGGAACUCCCGGUGUAGCGGUGAAAUGCGUAGAUAUCGGGAAGAACACCAGUGGCGAAGGCGGCCACCUAGACCAAGACUGACGCUGAGGUGCGAAAGCGUGGGGAGCAAACAAGAUUAGAUACCCUGGUAGUCCACGCCGUAAACGAUGAGGACUAGCCGUUGGGCCCAUUCAAGGGCUUAGUGGCGCAACUAACGCGUUAAGUCCUCCGCCUGGGGAGUACGGCCGCAAGGUUAAAACUCAAAGGAAUUGACGGGGGGCCCGCACAAGCGGUGGAACAUGGGGUUUUAAUUCGAUGCAACGCUAAAGAACCUUAACUGCCCUUGAACUCCCUCGAAACUUGGCAAAGACCCCUUGGUGCCCUU
RNAcentral lists this ribosomal RNA (800 nucleotides) under uncultured bacterium. RNAcentral's name for it is "bacterial SSU rRNA". It matches the Rfam family "Bacterial small subunit ribosomal RNA", at positions 234 to 1021 of the family's 1533-position model. The record is from RNAcentral.